UGAAAGGAAGGAAUGAAAACACAAAAAUGGAAGAAAAUGAAGCAAAGGAAAAAUAACAAGAAAAAGUAACCAAAGAGAAAACCCUAGAAACCCGAAAGAAAAAUUCGUCCAUGAAAUCUGCAAGAUAACCAGGGCCGAGAAAAACCGUAAGAGAACAACCUUCAAACCCGUCCUACUAAUCGGUCGGCCAACUCAGGGGGUGGUUAUCUCUUGCAAUAGCAUGAAAUAGAUUUGAACUCCACUACAAUUCUGACGUUGUUUCUUUGCCAUGAUAAAUCAUACAUUUUUAAUAGUAAAUUAGUUUAUCCGAUCAUGAGAAGUAUAGUUGGCGAACCUGACAAAUUCGUUUCAGUUCAAUUUUCUGUCCUGCUUGUAAACCAAAUUUAUCAUCAUCAUGUCAAUAUAAAUGUCC
Molecule: long non-coding RNA, 412 nt
Filed under: Hordeum vulgare
Lineage: Eukaryota; Viridiplantae; Streptophyta; Magnoliopsida; Poales; Poaceae
Description: long non-coding RNA (HVUL_LNC017465)
Source: RNAcentral